CCUACGGGUGGCAGCAGUGGGGAAUAUUGGACAAUGGGCGAAAGCCUGAUCCAGCCAUGCCGCGUGUGUGAAGAAGGCCUUCGGGUUGUAAAGCACUUUCAGUGGGGAAGAAAGCCUUGGGGCUAAUACCCUCGAGGAAGGACAUCACCCACAGAAGAAGCACCGGCUAACUCCGUGCCAGCAGCCGCGGUAAUACGGAGGGUGCGAGCGUUAAUCGGAAUUACUGGGCGUAAAGCGCGCGUAGGCGGUCUGAUAAGCCGGUUGUGAAAGCCCCGGGCUCAACCUGGGUACGGCAUCCGGAACUGUCAGGCUAGAGUGCAGGAGAGGAAGGUAGAAUUCCCGGUGUAGCGGUGAAAUGCGUAGAGAUCGGGAGGAAUACCAGUGGCGAAGGCGGCCUUCUGGACUGACACUGACGCUGAGGUGCGAAAGCGUGGGUAGCAAACAGGAUUAGAUACCCCGGUAGUC
RNAcentral lists this ribosomal RNA (465 nucleotides) under Vreelandella stevensii. RNAcentral's name for it is "partial 16S ribosomal RNA". It matches the Rfam family "Bacterial small subunit ribosomal RNA", at positions 338 to 795 of the family's 1533-position model. Lineage: Bacteria; Pseudomonadati; Pseudomonadota; Gammaproteobacteria; Oceanospirillales; Halomonadaceae. The record is from RNAcentral.